RNAcentral lists this ribosomal RNA (259 nucleotides) under uncultured bacterium. RNAcentral describes it as "partial 16S ribosomal RNA". It matches the Rfam family "Bacterial small subunit ribosomal RNA", at positions 524 to 776 of the family's 1533-position model. The record is from RNAcentral.
UACGAGGGGGGCGAGCGUUGUUCGGAAUUAUUGGGCGUAAAGGGUGCGUAGGCGGUUCGGUAAGUUUCGUGUGAAAUCUUCGGGCUCAACUCGAAGUCUGCACGAGAUACUGCCGGGCUUGAGUGUGGGAGAGGUGAGUGGAAUUUCCGGGUGGAGCGGUGAAAUGCGUAGAGAUCCGGAGGAACACCGACGGCGCAGGCAGCGCCCCUGGCUGUGAUAGCUGACACUGAGGCACGAAAAGCUGGGGGGAGCAAACAGG